Molecule: ribosomal RNA, 468 nt
Filed under: uncultured bacterium
Lineage: Bacteria
Description: partial 16S ribosomal RNA
Rfam family: Bacterial small subunit ribosomal RNA
Source: RNAcentral
GACGAACGCUGGCGGCGUGCUUAACACAUGCAAGUCGAACGGAAAGGCCCUGCUUUUGUGGGGUGCUCGAGUGGCGAACGGGUGAGUAACACGUGAGUAACCUGCCCUUGACUUUGGGAUAACUUCAGGAAACUGGGGCUAAUACCGGAUAGGAGCUCCUGCUGCAUUGUGUGGGUUGGAAAGUUUCGGCGGUUGGGGAUGGACUCGCGGCUUAUCAGCUUGUUGGUGGGGUAGUGGCUUACCAAGGCUUUGACGGGUAGCCGGCCUGAGAGGGGGAACGGCCACAUUGGGACUGAGAUACGGAGCAGAAUCCUACGGGAGGCAGCAGUGGGGAAUAUUGCACAAUGGGCGGAAGCCUGAUGCAGCAACGCCGCGUGCGGGAUGACGGCCUUCGGGUUGUAAACCGCUUUUGCCUGUGACGAAGCGUGAGUGACGGUAAUGGGUAAAGAAGCACCGGCUAACUACGUG